RNAcentral lists this unclassified non-coding RNA (728 nucleotides) under Hevea brasiliensis (rubber tree). Lineage: Eukaryota; Viridiplantae; Streptophyta; Magnoliopsida; Malpighiales; Euphorbiaceae. The record is from RNAcentral.
CUUAGGGGAUCUGAACAUUUUUUUUCCUCUAGAAGUUAAGCUUCAUGUAAAUCCACCUGUGAUACUGAUAAGAAAGUAAUUUUUUUAAUCACGGUAUUGCAAAAUGGUUAACGGGAUGAUUUUAGGGGAACAUCUUGACUCUACUUUUCUAAUAUGGUUGCACUGAAAAGUUCAUCAUUCUAAUUGUCUGUUUUCUCCUUUUUAAAUAAAAGUCGUCUUCGUUUUAGUCUUGUGUAUUAUCACUUAUUUUCAGUCUGUGCCCAGGGUGUGUUGCAUAUAUGUUUAAUUUAUGGCCGCCUUAUUUUGGAUUGGUGCAGGAAUUUCUUGGAUUGCCGAGGGUCGAUGCCAUCCAUCUUCUGGCACAGUACAAUGGAAAUGCUGAGACUGUCAUCCAGGAAAUAUUUGCAUAGCUUAGGAUCUAAACCUAUACCAAAGACACAUUUAUUUGUUCAUUACAAGAAGUAAACCUUAAUUCAAAUUAGUUGCAUAAGCUAUAUGGUUCCUUUUUUAACCAUUUAGCUUUAUUUGAGAUCAAUUUAUUUGUUCAUUAGAUAAAAGAAAAUUAUUUUAUUCAAAAGUUGUACCGUAUCUGUAAAUAACUUGCAGAGCGACAGUCUUGAUAUCAAAUGCCAAAGAACGGGGCCUCCUUUUUUAUCGGUUUCUGUAUAUUUUACAUGUGUUCUUGUCACUAAUAGAGCAAAUUUUUUAUUUGUGUGUGUAGUUUGUCA